This 669-nucleotide ribosomal RNA is filed under the name Serratia plymuthica. RNAcentral's name for it is "bacterial SSU rRNA". It matches the Rfam family "Bacterial small subunit ribosomal RNA", at positions 824 to 1487 of the family's 1533-position model. Lineage: Bacteria; Pseudomonadati; Pseudomonadota; Gammaproteobacteria; Enterobacterales; Yersiniaceae. The record is from RNAcentral.
UUGUCCCCCUGAGGAGUGGCUUCCGGAGCUAACGCNUUUAANUCNACCCNCCUGGGGAGUNCGGCCGCAAGGUUAAAACUCAAAUGAAUUGACCGGGGGCCCGCACAAGCGGUGGAGCAUGUGGUUUAAUUCGAUGCAACGCGAAGAACCUUACCUACUCUUGACAUCCAGAGAAUUCGCUAGAGAUAGCUUAGUGCCUUCGGGAACUCUGAGACAGGUGCUGCAUGGCUGUCGUCAGCUCGUGUUGUGAAAUGUUGGGUUAAGUCCCGCAACGAGCGCAACCCUUAUCCUUUGUUGCCAGCGAUUCGGUCGGGAACUCAAAGGAGACUGCCGGUGAUAAACCGGAGGAAGGUGGGGAUGACGUCAAGUCAUCAUGGCCCUUACGAGUAGGGCUACACACGUGCUACAAUGGCGUAUACAAAGAGAAGCGAACUCGCGAGAGCAAGCGGACCUCAUAAAGUACGUCGUAGUCCGGAUUGGAGUNUGCAACUCGACUCCAUGAAGUCGGAAUCGCUAGUAAUCGUAGAUCAGAAUGCUACGGUGAAUACGUUCCCGGGCCUUGUACACACCGCCCGUCACACCAUGGGAGUGGGUUGCAAAAGAAGUAGGUAGCUUAACCUUCGGGAGGGCGCUUACCCACCUUUGUGAUUCCAUGANCUGGGGGAAGUC